AUGAGAGUGGGCGUGGCCACGGAACGAUGGGGCGGAGUCGCGCGGAGGGGGCGGGGCCUAGGAACGAGCGGUGAGGCGGAGCGCGAGGGAGGGGGCGUGUCUGAGUUAGGCCCCGCCCCUCGCCUUGCACGCGCAGGCGCGCGGCGGGGCGCGGCCCAUUGUCGGGGCGGGGCGGGGCGGGGCCGGGAGGGGGGCGGCGGGGCGGGGGGGAGGGGGCGCAGAGCGGCGGCGGCGGCGUGCGGCGGGCACCGGGCCCCGGGCACCGGCACCGGCACCGCCCCGGCCGCUCCUCCCGCCGCCAUGCCCGGCUCCAUCUACCAGCCCGACGGCGGGCAGGCUGCCCGCGGCCCGCCCCGCUGCCUGGCGCUGCUCAGCCCUCCGCCGCCGCCACCGCCGCCGCCCACCGGGCAGGAACCGGAGCCCGAGGCGGAGCGGGAGGAGCAGCAGCAGCAGCCGCCAGCGCCGCCGGACGAAGCGGCCGCCCUGCGGUUCGCCCUGUCGCAGCUGUCGCUGCUGGGGCUGGACGAGGCGGCGGGGGAGGCUCUGGAGGAAGCGGAGCCCGGCGAGGCUCGGGGAGGCCACCGGGGGAGCGGGGGCAGCCCCCCGCUUACCGGCACCGCCGAGCCCGGGACAUCGCCGGCGGCUCGAGGAGAGGAGCGCCGCGGGGAGAGCAGCGCGCUCCGCUCGGGAUGCGGGCGUGGAUUCGGCUGCGUGGCGGGGGGCUCGCGGCCCCCCGGGGGUCUCUCGGUGGUCGGCGAUCCCAUGGUGAGGUCUGUGCCUCCGCUGGGAAGCGUCUUUGUGGGUGGGUUGGGUGAACCCGACUUUGUCCAGGUGUCCUGCCUCCGGCAGCACCCGGCCUCGGGGUGGCUUCUGCUCCCCGAGGAGCUCGCCGUGUGCCCGGGUGCCCCGCACACCUCGCUCGGAGCUCAGGGUGCUCGUGGAGCCCCGUGGGGCUGCAGGAGGAGGCUGGGAGAGAUGCUUGCGCUACGUCGAGGUGGGGCGAGUGGGGUGCUGCUGCGGGGUUUGGGGGGACACGGUGCCAGUGAUGGGCUGUGGGUGCCCCAGCCCGCCCACAGCGCCUGUCCCCGUGGGAUUUGCUCCGUGGGUGCCUUUGGCUCCCCGAGGAUGCUGCGGCCCCUUUGUGCUGGGGUUUUGGUGUGA
This 1161-nucleotide long non-coding RNA is filed under the name Cairina moschata (Muscovy duck). Its description in RNAcentral is "domestica (muscovy Duck (domestic type)) lncRNA (ENSCMMG00000011992.1)". The record is from RNAcentral. Lineage: Eukaryota; Metazoa; Chordata; Aves; Anseriformes; Anatidae.